CGGCAAGGUCUAGGUCGUCCCUCGCGCGCACACCGAGCCGAGCACCGACACGGCGUGGAGUGUUGGCUCGUAAAUCGCGCACUUUAUCGCGGAAACGGGGCAAGCUGACGGCGAAGAGGCGCGAGGGCACGGAACGGAAGAAACUUAUGCAACCAGCGCAAACCUUUUUUGCCGAGUGGAGGAGACGGCGCGGCAAACAAGACCUUGGGAUGGUAUUCAACCCGAAGAAGCAUAUGCUCGGGAACUUUCAAUUUAAAGAAGCGAAAUACAUGCCAGAAUUUCACCUUGAGACUCUAAUGCUCCUAGGAAAAGUUCUGACGAAGAGAGGCAAAUUAGCAGAGUGCCAGCAGCAUUCAAGCUCAUAGGAGAGCAUCUUGAGAAAUUCGCACGAAAGACUGACUGACUGCUGGCGUCUGAAUGGAAAUAACAAACUGGCAGACGAGGGCUCGAAUUUAAAACCGCACAGCUGCAACGUGAAGAAGUUUUCACUGGCCGAGCAGCACAUGAGCGGGCGGGUUGUGUGGCUCGGGCAAGUAUUCUUUUCGAGCCGAUCUGCAGAUGUCUUUCUCGCCAGAAUGAACUGUUAAUUGCUGACCUUGCAAUAUAAUGGCGCACUUAAAAUACACGAAAUAAAAAGGCUCACACGGAAUGAAAUCGGCCGCGAAAAACGAGUGCAAAAAGAGCGCCGACAUGCAACGCCGGCCGGUUUUCCCAGCAUGCAGCCGACGAGAUGCAAUUUCGAUUUAGUUUUAUUUGCAUUCAAGACUCGAGCCGGACUGGAAUGCGUCCUGAUCGCGAGAAGAAGAAGUGAGAGGCGCUCGAAAGGUCAGCCCCAUGCACCUCUUCUGAUCUUCGAGCCAUUUCAGUUCAGACCCUUCCCAAAUUAUCAUUCUGCUACCUGCGCCGCGUGAUGCAACCAAAACAAUCCGGCGUCAAAUUGAAUUGAAUUGCGGUGCAUUUUGUGUUUACCAGAGAAUUGCAAGAGCUCAAAAGAAGCGAUGUGUCUCAAGUCUCAAUCAAUUAUACCGUUUGAAGUAGCAUUAGUUCCAAUUUUUAACAAAGAUAAAUUGUUAUGAAAUUCGCAUGGAUUCCAUAAAGAAGAAAAAGGUUUAAAUUAUCAUUAGGUUUAAUUUGAUUUUAUCAAGAUUUAGUAUUGAUUUAAUUAAAGAGUAACAUUAGAAUUUUUAGAUAAUAGAAAAAAUAGUGUACU
Long non-coding RNA from Neocloeon triangulifer, 1210 nucleotides. RefSeq lists it as uncharacterized. The transcript has 3 exons. NCBI's taxonomy places the organism in Eukaryota, Metazoa, Arthropoda, Insecta, Ephemeroptera, Baetidae. The record is from RefSeq and is a predicted model, not a curated record.